GUACUUGCUUUAGCAGCACAUACACUACAACUGGAAUGACACAGAGAAGGUCAGCAUGGCUCCUGUGUGACAAUGACAUUCAAAUUCUUGAAGAGUUUCAUAUUUUU
This is a small nuclear RNA of Sciurus vulgaris (Eurasian red squirrel), 107 nucleotides long. Lineage: Eukaryota; Metazoa; Chordata; Mammalia; Rodentia; Sciuridae. The record is from Ensembl.